AUGCAAGUSGACGGUAAGGCCCUUCGGGGUAAACGAGUGGCGAACGGGUGAGUAACGCGUGAGUAACCUGCCCUUCACUCUGGGAUAACAGUUGGAAACGGCUGCUAACACCGGAUAUUCAGCUCCUGUCGCAUGGUGGGGGUUGGAAAGUUUUGGUGGUGGAGGAUGGGCUCGCGUCCUAUCAGCUUGUUGGUGGGGUGAUGGCCUACCAAGGCGUCGACGGGUAGCCGGCCUGAGAGGGCGACCGGCCACAUUGGGACUGAGAUACGGCCCAAACUCCUACGGGAGGCAGCAGUGGGGAAUAUUGCACAAUGGGCGGAAGCCUGAUGCAGCAACGCCGCGUGCGGGAUGACGGCCUUCGGGUUGUAAACCGCUUUCAGCAGGGACGAAGCGUGAGUGACGGUACCUGCAGAAGAAGCACCGGCUAACUACGUGCCAGCAGCCGCGGUGAUACGUAGGGUGCGAGCGUUGUCCGGAUUUAUUGGGCGUAAAGAGCUUGUAGGCGGUUGGUUGCGUCGAAAGUGCAAACUCAGGGCUUAACUCUGAGCCUGCUUUCGAUACGGGCUGACUGGAGGAAGGUAGGGGAGAAUGGAAUUCCCGGUGGAGCGGUGGAAUGCGCAGAUAUCGGGAGGAACACCAGUGGCGAAGGCGGUUCUCUGGACCUUUCCUGACGCUGAGAAGCGAAAGCGUGGGGAGCAAACAGGCUUAGAUACCCUGGUAGUCCACGCUGUAAACGGUGGGCACUAGGUGUGGGACCCAUUCCACGGGUUCCGUGCCGUAGCUAACGCAUUAAGUGCCCCGCCUGGGGAGUACGGCCGCAAGGCUAAAACUCAAAGGAAUUGACGGGGGCCCGCACAAGCGGCGGAGCAUGCGGAUUAAUUCGAUGCAACGCGAAGAACCUUACCUGGGUUUGACAUAUACCGGAAACAUCUGGAGACAGGUGCCCCGCAAGGUCGGUAUACAGGUGGUGCAUGGCUGUCGUCAGCUCGUGUCGUGAGAUGUUGGGUUAAGUCCCGCAACGAGCGCAACCCUCGUUCUAUGUUGCCAGCGGUUCGGCCGGGAACUCAUAGAAGACUGCCGGGGUCAGCUCGGAGGAAGGUGGGGAUGACGUCAAGUCAUCAUGCCCCUUAUGUCCAGGGCUACACACGUGUUACAAUGGCCGGUACAGAGGGCAGCUACCUGGAGACAGGAUGCGAAUCUCGAAAGCCGGUCUCAGUUCGGAUCGGAGUCUGCAACUCGACUCCGUGAAGCUGGAUUCGCUAGUAAUCGCGCAUCAGCCAUGGCGCGGUGAAUACGUUCCCGGGCCUUGUACACACCGCCCGUCAAGCCAUGGAAGUUGGGGGUACCUGAAGUCCGUAACCGUAAGGAGCGGCCUAGGUAAAACCCAGUGAC
This 1392-nucleotide ribosomal RNA is filed under the name uncultured bacterium. RNAcentral describes it as "bacterial SSU rRNA". It matches the Rfam family "Bacterial small subunit ribosomal RNA". The record is from RNAcentral.